UCUCCGUUGGUGAACCAGCGGAGGGAUCAUUACUGGAAUCGCAAGAUCCCACAACCCUGUGAACCUACCGAAACGUUGCCUCGGCGGGUGCCCGGCCUCUGCGCCGGGCGCUGCGCCCGCCGGCGGCCCCCUACUCUGUCUCUGCAGCGUGGCAUCUCAGAGUCCCAGAAAACAAGUCAAAACUUUCAACAACGGAUCUCUUGGCUCUAGCAUCGAUGAAGAACGCAC
Molecule: unclassified non-coding RNA, 228 nt
Filed under: plant metagenome
Description: partial contains small subunit ribosomal RNA, internal transcribed spacer 1, and 5.8S ribosomal RNA
Rfam family: 5.8S ribosomal RNA (bases 181-228)
Source: RNAcentral